AGUGAACGCUGGCGGUAGGCCUAACACAUGCAAGUCGAACGGCAGCACAGUAAGAGCUUGCUCUUACGGGUGGCGAGUGGCGGACGGGUGAGGAAUACAUCGGAAUCUACUUUUUCGUGGGGGAUAACGUAGGGAAACUUACGCUAAUACCGCAUACGACCUACGGGUGAAAGCAGGGGAUCUUCGGACCUUUCGCGAUUGAAUGAGCCGAUGUCGGAUUAGCUAGUUGGCGGGGUAAAGGCCCACCAAGGCGACGAUCCGUAGCUGGUCUGAGAGGAUGAUAAGCCACACUGGAACUGAGACACGGUCCAGAAUCCUACGGGAGGCAGCAGUGGGGAAUAUUGGACAAUGGGCGCAAGCCUGAUCCAGCCAUACCGCGUGGGUGAAGAAGGCCUUCGGGUUGUAAAGCCCUUUUGUUGGGAAAGAAAAGCAGCAGGUUAAUACCCCGCUGUUCUGACGGUACCCAAAGAAUAAGCACCGGCUAACUUCGUG
Molecule: ribosomal RNA, 492 nt
Filed under: uncultured bacterium
Lineage: Bacteria
Description: partial 16S ribosomal RNA
Rfam family: Bacterial small subunit ribosomal RNA
Source: RNAcentral